This 594-nucleotide ribosomal RNA is filed under the name Iciligorgia brunnea. RNAcentral describes it as "eukaryotic LSU rRNA". It matches the Rfam family "Eukaryotic large subunit ribosomal RNA", at positions 409 to 811 of the family's 3401-position model. Lineage: Eukaryota; Metazoa; Cnidaria; Anthozoa; Malacalcyonacea; Alcyoniidae. The record is from RNAcentral.
UGAAAGGGAAGCGAAUGGAGUUAGCAAUUCGCUCUGUCAGACUCAGCUGCUCGUGCAUCGCGACGUGUGCGUUCUCGAUCCCUAUAGACGAGACGUAGACGGGCGCGACGUGCGGACGGCGCACUUCUGGCGGGCGAGCGUCAGCGUCGGUUGUCGAUGGGUGACAAGGUCGCAAGGAAGGUGGACCGGUCUCACGGCCGGUUGUUAUAGCCUUGCGUUCGUAUAGCCCGACGGCGACCGUGGCUCUUCGAGGCGACGCGUGCCUGGCUGGCGACUCGUACGAUCGGUCCGGCAUGUCGACCGUGGCGGACGGCACGCCUGUGCGCUCAAACUGCUGCCGGUCGAUUGGACGAUGUUCGCACACUACGCGUCGAAGAUGCUGACGACCAUACGGCUCCAUCCGACCCGUCUUGAAACACGGACCAAGGAGUCUAACAUGUGCGCGAGUCUCCGGGUGAGCGAAACCCGUGGGCACAAUGAAAGUAAAGAUCGUCCCAGACGAUUGAGGUGAGAAGCUGGUACCACGCGUGCUGGCCGCAUCAUCGACCGACCUAUUCUGCUCUCAGAAAGGUUUGAGUAAGAGCGUAUCUGUUG